RNAcentral lists this unclassified non-coding RNA (1005 nucleotides) under Hevea brasiliensis (rubber tree). The record is from RNAcentral. Lineage: Eukaryota; Viridiplantae; Streptophyta; Magnoliopsida; Malpighiales; Euphorbiaceae.
GUACACCUUACGAAGAGUAACCUCAGUUAGUCCAGUCACCUUACAUAUUUCAGCCUGGGUCUUCCGCUUGUCCUCUAGUUGACAUGCCAAAUAUAUAGCAGCAGCAGAGAUGCUAAUUGGAUUCCUUCUAGUGCAAAAGCAUUUAUUGAUGAUUACUUCACCAAUGUGAGUCGCCAGCUCCUGAGCAGAUUUAUUCAGCUGAAGGAGUGUACAAAACCUUGGCAUAUGGACUGAUAUAGAAUUACUAUUGAUAGGUUGACUGAGUUGUAACGCUUCUCCAAGAAUCUUUAUGUACUUCCCGAUUUCCUUCUGAGGUAAAUUGGCCGCAACUGAUAUUUCCUGGAGAGUUCUCGGCUCUUGGGCUUCCCUGAUAGCGUGCACAAGAGCAGCAGUAGCAAGCGCUUCAACACUCCGAUUCCUUAAGCAAGUUGCUGAAGAACAAUCCCUGAAGAGCUGAAACGCGUGGUCCGAAAUAUCAGAAUCCAGUCGCAGAAUAGAAGCCACAUCAAUAAUCUGCAAAUAAGCCCGGAGAUUUUCCACCACGACAGAAGAAGAGGACGAACUGGAGGAAGUUGACGUCAUUUCGAGGACCCGCUCGAGCUCUGCAAGGUGACCGGCGAAUGAAAUGGAGGAUUGGGCAAAUACUGGGUAGGGUUCGAGAGACCAAGUAGAGAAAGUGGUGAUGAAACCAGUGGGUUCAAAUGGGUCUUCAUCGUCGUUAGUGGCGGAGAUGGGAAGAGUGGGGAGAUCAGAAGUAGCCAGGCACAGAGGAGAAUCUUGGGCACGGGUAUGAAAAAGAUGGUGGGAUUGGGUUAAUCGCUCCUCCACUACCCGGCCGCAGGAUGUGCACUCGGUUAUCGGUCUGCCACUGGUGCUGCUGGUACACCGCCCUUGCUCCGCCGAGCAGUACGGACACCGCAUUUUUCUGAUUUCAACUAGCUAGGCGUGGGGAAUUGCAGUACUGCUCCUGCUGGACCCAAUUAUUUGUAGAACAGUUUUGGUAAC